CAGUGCCUCCUGCUCUGCCCACUCACCCUGCCACGUGGCGGCCGGGUGAGGGCCUCGGGGCAGCAU
RNAcentral lists this microRNA precursor (66 nucleotides) under Oryza longistaminata (longstamen rice). RNAcentral describes it as "pre miRNA MIR2907". It matches the Rfam family "MIR2907 microRNA precursor family". The record is from RNAcentral. Lineage: Eukaryota; Viridiplantae; Streptophyta; Magnoliopsida; Poales; Poaceae.